CACUAGUUCACCAACCAUAGUUUUCAAGUAAGUGUGGUGCCAAGGCAACAGAUUAUUUUUCUAGGAAACAGUAGCUGAUGUAUAAUACUUUCAUGCCAUGUGGCCUGAACCUGCCUCCCUUUUAUGAUGCUGGCAUAAGGAAAUUUUAUAGAUGUAUUUCAGUUCACUUGCAUUUUGAUUUAUAAUUCUUUUGAAUUCUUAACUUUUCAAAGUUAAAUUUUGAUAUGCUCAAAUUUGUAUACUAGUAGCAGCAUAUUAGAUUGGAAAUUUUGCACCACAUGGAUAAGCUCAUGAUAAGUUGUUACUGAUUAGCGAUAAAGGAAACAAGUCAUUAACUUGCCCCAGCCUUCCUUCUUCAUCAGAAGAUCACAUGAUAAGUUGCAUUGAUUUGUAGAAUAUUCUUAACAAACAGAAGCCACAAAAUACUAAUGCAUAAACUGAUUACAUGAAAAACUAAGGGGCACAGG
RNAcentral lists this unclassified non-coding RNA (467 nucleotides) under Hevea brasiliensis (rubber tree). Lineage: Eukaryota; Viridiplantae; Streptophyta; Magnoliopsida; Malpighiales; Euphorbiaceae. The record is from RNAcentral.